RNAcentral lists this ribosomal RNA (407 nucleotides) under Ruditapes decussatus. Its description in RNAcentral is "partial 16S ribosomal RNA". It matches the Rfam family "Bacterial large subunit ribosomal RNA", at positions 1948 to 2597 of the family's 2925-position model. Lineage: Eukaryota; Metazoa; Mollusca; Bivalvia; Venerida; Veneridae. The record is from RNAcentral.
GUACUAAGGUAGCGCGAUAAUUUGUCUUUUAAUUGAAGAAUGGUAUGAAAGGUCUGUCGCAAGUUGCUUGUCUCUGAAAAAGAAAGCGAAGUUUCCUUUUAAAUGAAAAGGUUUAAGUAAAGUAAAAGACGAGAAGACCCUAUUGAGCUUAAUCAGGUUUUAAAUUUUAUGUGUGUUAUUAUUUAAAACUAAAGUGUGGUUGGGGAAAGCUAGAUUUAAGAAAACAAGUCUAUAAUAGGCUGAAGAUCCUCCUCGGGAGAAAUUGGUAAAAGCUACCGUAGGGAUAACAGCGUAAUCUUUCUUGAGAGAUCUUAUUGAGGGAAAGGUUUGCGACCUCGAUGUUGGAUUAGAAAAACUUUUUGGUGCAGCAGCUAAGAGUAGUGAGACUGUUCGUCUCUUAAAUUUCU